This 416-nucleotide ribosomal RNA is filed under the name uncultured Bacillus sp. RNAcentral describes it as "bacterial SSU rRNA". It matches the Rfam family "Bacterial small subunit ribosomal RNA", at positions 927 to 1340 of the family's 1533-position model. Lineage: Bacteria; Bacillati; Bacillota; Bacilli; Caryophanales; Bacillaceae. The record is from RNAcentral.
AAGCGGUGGAGCAUGUGGUUUAAUUUGAAGCAACGCGAAGAACCUUACCAGGUCUUGACAUCCUUAGACAUCUUUAGAGACAGAGCUUUUCCCUUCGGGGGCAUAAGUGACAGGUGGUGCAUGGUUGUUGUCAGCUCGUGUCGUGAGAUGUUGGGUUAAGUCCCGCAACGAGCGCAACCCUUGUCCUUUAGUAGCCAGCAUUCAGUUGGGCACUUUAAGGAGACUGCCGGUGACAAACCGGAAAAAGGUGGGGAUGAUCGUCAAAUCAUCAUGCCCCUUAUGACCUGGGCUACACACGUGCUCCAAUGGAUAGAACAAAGGGCAGCGAAGCCGCGAGGUCAAGCAAAUCCCAUAAAUCUAUUCUCAGUUCGGAUUGCAGGCUGCAACUCGCCUGCAUGAAGCCGGAAUCGCUAGUA